GGGGACAGCUCGGCGGUAGAGCACGUGCCUGGCACGCACGAGGGCCUGGGUUCGAUCCCCAGUGCCGCCA
Molecule: transfer RNA, 70 nt
Filed under: Camelus bactrianus (Bactrian camel)
Lineage: Eukaryota; Metazoa; Chordata; Mammalia; Artiodactyla; Camelidae
Also listed under: 2 other names
Rfam family: tRNA
About the family: Transfer RNA (tRNA) molecules are approximately 80 nucleotides in length. Their secondary structure includes four short double-helical elements and three loops (D, anti-codon, and T loops). Further hydrogen bonds mediate the characteristic L-shaped molecular structure. tRNAs have two regions of fundamental functional importance: the anti-codon, which is responsible for specific mRNA codon recognition, and the 3' end, to which the tRNAs corresponding amino acid is attached (by aminoacyl-tRNA synthetases). tRNAs cope with the degeneracy of the genetic code in two manners: having more than one tRNA (with a specific anti-codon) for a particular amino acid; and 'wobble' base-pairing, i.e. permitting non-standard base-pairing at the 3rd anti-codon position.
Source: Rfam by way of RNAcentral